This 479-nucleotide ribosomal RNA is filed under the name uncultured bacterium. RNAcentral's name for it is "partial 16S ribosomal RNA". It matches the Rfam family "Bacterial small subunit ribosomal RNA", at positions 28 to 523 of the family's 1533-position model. The record is from RNAcentral.
GACGAACGCUGGCGGCGUGCUUAACACAUGCAAGUCGAACGGUAAGGCCCUUCGGGGUACACGAGUGGCGAACGGGUGAGUAACACGUGGGUGAUCUGCCCUGCACUUCGGGAUAAGCCUGGGAAACUGGGUCUAAUACCGGAUAGGACCACUGCCUGCAUGGGUGGUGGUGGAAAGAUUUUGCGGUGUGGGAUGCGGCGCGGGGCCUAUCAGCUUGUGGGUGGGGUGAUGGCCUACCAAGGCGACGACGGGUAGCCGGCCUGAGAGGGUGACCAGCCACACUGGGACUGAGAUACGGCCCAGACUCCUACGGGAGGCAGCAGUGGGGAAUAUUGCACAAUGGGCGCAAGCCUGAUGCAGCGUCGCCGCGUGAGGGAUGACGGCCUUCGGGUUGUAAACCUCUUUCAGCACCGACGAAGCGCAAGUGACGGUAGGUGCAGAAGAAGGACCGGUCAACUACGUGCCAGCCGCCGCGGUAA